GAAACUGAGGCUAAUACCGGAUAGGCAAUUUUUCCUGUAAUGGUUUUUUGUUUAAAUGUUUUUUCGCCUAAGGAUGGGUCUGCGGCCGAUUAGGUAGUUGGUUAGGUAAUGGCUUACCAAGCCGUUGAUCGGUACGGGUUGUGAGAGCAAGAGCCCGGAGAUGGAACCUGAGACAAGGUUCCAGGCCCUACGGGGUGCAGCAGGCGCGAAACCUCCGCAAUGUGAGAAAUCGCGACGGGGGGAUCCCAAGUGCCAUUCUUAACGGGAUGGCUUUUCAUUAGUGUAAAAAGCUUUUGGAAUAAGAGCUGGGCAAGACCGGUGCCAGCCGCCGCGGUAACACCGGCAGCUCUAGUGGUAACAAUUUUUAUUGGGCCUAAAGCGUCCGUAGCCGGUUUAAUAAGUCUCUGGUGAAAUCCUGUAGCUUAACUGUGGGAAUUGCUGGAGAUACUAUUAGACUUGAGACCGGGAGAGGUUAGAGGUACUCCCAGGGUAGAGGUGAAAUUCUGUAAUCCUGGGAGGACCGCCUGUUGCGAAGGCGUCUAACUGGAACGGUUCUGACGGUGAGGGACGAAAGUUAGGGGCGCGAACCGGAUUAGAUACCCGGGUAGUCCUAACUGUAAACGAUGCGGACUUGGUGUUGGGGUGGCUUUGAGCUGCUCCAGUGCCGAAGGGAAGCUGUUAAGUCCGCCGCCUGGGAAGUACGGUCGCAAGACUGAAACUUAA
Molecule: ribosomal RNA, 723 nt
Filed under: uncultured archaeon
Lineage: Archaea
Description: bacterial SSU rRNA
Rfam family: Archaeal small subunit ribosomal RNA
Source: RNAcentral